GUGCGGCAGCGAAGUGGCAGGGCCGCUCCCUGUCCCCUGAGGACACGGCAGAGGGGCGGGGGCCCAGGCCCACCCGGGGCUUGUCUGCGGUGCCCUGCACAGAGGCUCCCUGGGGCCGUGCACGACCUCACCAGCAGCGCCGGGCAGCCGGGAGCAGGCUCAGGUUUGGGGCCAGGGACCGAGGCUGGGCAGUUGACCGUGGCAGCCUCCGCCCUUCACGCACACACACACACAUGUGAACACACGUGCACACAACACGCAUGUCCAGGCCUGCAUCUGUGCAAGAGGGUCAGCCGUCUCGCAGGAGCCAGACCCCCCCAGUCACAGGCACCUAUUAAGCACCUACUGUCUGCCGGACCUUGCUAUGGAUCCAGGUGGGAAACCACCCAGCAGGCAGGCGGGCAAGAGCCUUGGUCCCGAGGGGGAGGCUGGGAGGGGCUGGUCCCCUUCCUGCCCUGCCCGGGGCCGGUGGACCCUCAGUUCACACGCCCGGGGCCAGCCCAGCAGCCCCGUGCCUGCCACUUCCGGCUCUGCCAUGGAGAGGCUGCCCAGAGCCAGGCCCACUUAGUACCUGGCGGCCAGGCCGGCUCCCGACACACCUGUGCGGCUGUGCCAGCGCCAGUCAUGCUGAUGAGGCCUCUGGGUGAUCAGCAGGUGGGGGGGCAGCUUGGCCCUGGCCCGGAGCAAGGCUGGAGGAGCUGGGCCAGUGUCCUCGCCUCAGGGGAGUGGUGGGCACAGCUGCCCCGCGGGCGCCGCCCACCUCACACAGACCAAACCCGGGAAGCAAUGGUGAUGGGCGAAGCUAUCACGGUGCGGAGCAGCCAGGAGCAGGCUCUGAGGUCUGGUCCGGGCACCUCCCUGGGGGCCGGGUGGUCCGGGCACCUCCCUGGGGGCCGCGUGGUCCGGGCACCUCCCUGGGGGCCGGGUGGUCCGGGCACCUCCCUGGGGGCCGCGUGGUCCUGGACACCUCCCUGGGGGCCGGGUGGUCCUGGACACCUCCCUGGGGGCCAUGUGCUGGGUCAUCAGACACAGCCCCAGGCCCCCAGGUGGCAGCUGGCACGAGGCUCAGCUGUGACACAGUCGGAGCUCCGUCAGCGUGUGUGCGUCACAGAGGAGGAGGGGCCGCUCGGCCGUGACGGGGGCUGUGCACCGGCCGCAGGAGGGAUCGGCACCCGCUCUGGACUCCAGGGCGGCACCGGGUCCUCCCGACUCCUCUCCAGGGAUGGGUGA
RNAcentral lists this long non-coding RNA (1230 nucleotides) under Oryctolagus cuniculus (rabbit). RNAcentral's name for it is "lncRNA (ENSOCUG00000031772.1)". The record is from RNAcentral. Lineage: Eukaryota; Metazoa; Chordata; Mammalia; Lagomorpha; Leporidae.